CCGCCUGGGGAGUACGACCGCAAGGUUGAAACUCAAAGGAAUUGACGGGGGCCCGCACAAGCGGUGGAGCAUGUGGUUUAAUUCGAAGCAACGCGAAGAACCUUACCAGGUCUUGACAUCCUUUGACCACUCUAGAGAUAGAGCUUCCCCUUCGGGGGCAAAGUGACAGGUGGUGCAUGGUUGUCGUCAGCUCGUGUCGUGAGAUGUUGGGUUAAGUCCCGCAACGAGCGCAACCCUUAUUGUUAGUUGCCAUCAUUCAGUUGGGCACUCUAGCAAGACUGCCGGUGACAAACCGGAGGAAGGUGGGGAUGACGUCAAAUCAUCAUGCCCCUUAUGACCUGGGCUACACACGUGCUACAAUGGGAAGUACAACGAGUUGCGAAGUCGCGAGGCUAAGCUAAUCUCUUAAAGCUUCUCUCAGUUCGGAUUGCAGGCUGCAACUCGCCUGCAUGAAGCCGGAAUCGCUAGUAAUCGCGGAUCAGCACGCCGCGGUGAAUACGUUCCCGGGCCUUGUACACACCGCCCGUCACACCACGAGAGUUUGUAACACCCG
Molecule: ribosomal RNA, 553 nt
Filed under: Enterococcus faecium
Lineage: Bacteria; Bacillati; Bacillota; Bacilli; Lactobacillales; Enterococcaceae
Description: bacterial SSU rRNA
Rfam family: Bacterial small subunit ribosomal RNA
Source: RNAcentral